CAGUUACUCAGUGUAAAUCUUUUCCUCCAUUAAAUGCACUACCCAAGGAAAAAAAGGUGUCUUAUUCAUUCCACGUUUUUGAAAAAGAUUCAACAUUAGAAACUGCGGCUGAAUCAUGUUUGCCAACUCUUGAAACACUUACAGCUAAAGGUUGUUUGCAAUAUACAGUUGUUGUAAAGACCAAGAAAACUACCAAUAAUAUUAAACGACUACGCUCUGACUAUGUUGAGUUGAAGAAGAUUCCACCAUGUAAGUUCUGCAAUGCAAAAAGAUUUUGAGUAUGAGCCUCCUGGAUUCUGUUCUGGAAAAGGUACGAUCAAGCUAACCUCUUAUAGAAUGCCAACUAAUCUGAGAAAUUUAUAUACGAGAAACGAUGCAGAAUCCAAGCAUUUUCAAACAUAUAUCCGAACAUAUAACAAUUUAUUUGCCUUUACAUCGCUUGGUGUUAAUUACGACAAAGAUUUAGCUCAAAGAAAUCAUGGUAUCUACACAUUUAAAGUUCAGGGGCAGAUGUAUCACCUGAUAGAUGCCUUAUAUCCCAAGGAAAGAAAAGCAACAAAAUUUACAACUGUACUUUUAUGAUAAAGCAAAUGAGCUUCAAAACAAAAUGUCUUGUUCCGACAGGCUACAUGAAUCAAUAGUAAUGGAACUUAUGACUAUACUAAAAGACAAUCCAUACUCAAUGUUUCUCCAAUCUUUGACAAACACACCAAAACUUGCAAAACUUUCAUAUAGCACUAAAAUGUGAUGCUGGAUUGGAUCAAUGAGUGUAUAAUCUACCUUCUACUACUGAAGUUGCAGCAAUAUGGACUGAUCAAAAUGAUGGUCGUGCUACUCAUGCACCGCAUGUUCAAAUUUAUACUCAGUGACAAGAUACAACGAGUAAACUGUUAUUUUGGUUGCUAUGAUCCUUUACAGUACCCUUUGUUAUUAUUGCCACAUGGACAAGGUGGGUGGCAUUGUGGUAUUAAAAAAUUUUACAAUGGGAAAAAUGUUUCUACAAAUCCUACUUUGUCCGAGCUUGAACAAUUACCUAACAUAAAUUUUUUUUGCCUCUGUUGAUGGAUACCUAGACAUGGAAGAUGAGACUUUACAAAAAGAAAAACGCAAAAGAGACGCAGUUUCGGUUCGUGAAUAU
This is a long non-coding RNA of Solanum stenotomum, 1138 nucleotides long. RefSeq lists it as uncharacterized. The record is from RefSeq and is a predicted model, not a curated record. NCBI's taxonomy places the organism in Eukaryota, Viridiplantae, Streptophyta, Magnoliopsida, Solanales, Solanaceae. The transcript has 3 exons.